Molecule: ribosomal RNA, 253 nt
Filed under: uncultured bacterium
Lineage: Bacteria
Description: partial 16S ribosomal RNA
Rfam family: Bacterial small subunit ribosomal RNA
Source: RNAcentral
UACGUAGGGGGCUAGCGUUGUCCGGAAUCAUUGGGCGUAAAGCGCGUGUAGGCGGUUCGGUAAGUCCGCUGUGAAAGUCGGGGGCUCAACCCUCGGAUGCCGGUGGAUACUGUCGGACUAGAGUACGGAAGAGGCGAGUGGAAUUCCUGGUGUAGCGGUGAAAUGCGCAGAUAUCAGGAAGAACACCCGUGGCGAAGGCGGCUCUCUGGGACGGUACUGACGCUGAGACGCGAAAGCGUGGGGAGCGAACAGG